RNAcentral lists this ribosomal RNA (253 nucleotides) under uncultured bacterium. RNAcentral describes it as "partial 16S ribosomal RNA". It matches the Rfam family "Bacterial small subunit ribosomal RNA", at positions 524 to 776 of the family's 1533-position model. The record is from RNAcentral.
UACAGAGGUGGCAAGCGUUGUUCGGAAUUACUGGGCGUAAAGGGCGCGUAGGCGGCCUUGUAAGUCCUGUGUGAAAUCCCCCGGCUCAACUGGGGAACUGCACAGGAGACUGCUUGGCUUGAGUUCGGGAGAGGGAAGCGGAAUUCCGGGUGUAGCGGUGAAAUGCGUAGAUAUCGGGAGGAACACCAGUGGCGAAGGCGACUACCUGGCCUGUUCUUGACGCUGAGGCGCGAAAGCUAGGGGAGCAAACGGG